AAAAAACAUAUUCAUUAUCCUUGGGACCAUGAGAUAAAAUACCCUACAAAACCAAGUUACCACACCUUAGAAUGGUUUUAACAGACUUACUAACCUAUGGCUCUAAUACCAAUUGGUGGGAAAAAUCC
Molecule: microRNA precursor, 128 nt
Organism: Vitis vinifera (wine grape)
Lineage: Eukaryota; Viridiplantae; Streptophyta; Magnoliopsida; Vitales; Vitaceae
Rfam family: MIR845_2 microRNA precursor family
Source: Rfam